AUGGGUCCUGGUCCUAAAUUGGGUUUUCUAGACCACUGUGAUACAACUAGUGCCACGGCCCCGUCUGUCUUCCCCCUGACCUCCUGCACCGGCGAAGUCACCACCUCCCCGGUCACCUUCGGCUGCCUGGCCAAAGGCUACUUCCCCGAGCCGGUCACCGUGACAUGGGGCCCGAACGUCGGCUCCUCGGGCGUGAGGACCUAUCCCUCCGUGCUGCAACCUUCCAGCGGCCUCUACUCGCUCAGCAGCCAGGUCACCGUCCCGGCCAGCAGCUGGGAGUCUAACACCUAUCGAUGCACCGUACAGCACCAGCCCACCAGCUCCAGCAUCUCCACGGAAAUCCCAAAGCCCCCCAAACCCCAGGCCCUCAUUACACCCAAGGUGAAAAUCGUCUCCAACACCGACCGAGACCCCGUCCAGCUCACGUGCUUAAUCUCCGGCUUCUACCCUGAGAAUUUGACGGUGGAAUGGAUGGUUGACGGCGAGCCCAGGAAACUUCCUAAUGACACAGCCCUUACCACGAAGGACGCCAACGGCCGCACCUACAGCACCCACUGCAAUGUCACUGUCUCCAAGGCCGAUUGGCGGAAGGUCAAGUUAUACACGUGCCAGGUGUCCCAGCCGGGCACCCCCAUCAAAUCGCAGGGCCACACCAACAAGUGCGGAGAAGAAACGUCUCCCGGCGAUAUCCAGGUCUUCCUGGUGCCUCCGUCUCCCGCCGCUCUGUAUGUGGCCCAGAGCCCCAUGCUCACCUGCCUGGUGGUCAACCUGCUUAGCAACUCCAGCCCCCAGGUGGUCUGGUCCCGGGAGAAGCCGGGCUCCAUUGUCCCUGAACCCCUGACCCUCACUGAGCAGCUCAACAGCACCUUCACCGCCUCCAGCUCCAUGCCCAUCUUCACCCGCGACUGGGAGGCCGGAGAGACUUUCACCUGCAAAGUGAACCACUCAGAGCUACCCUCACCCUUCAUCAAAUCGAUCUCCAAGAAGCCAGGCAGGCGCUCUGGCCCUGGCAUCUACCUCCUGCACCCCCACAAUGAGGAGUUGAGCAGCUCCAGAGACUCCAUCAGCCUCACCUGUCUGGUGCGGGGCUUCUUCCCCGAGGACAUCUCGGUGCAGUGGAUGAAGAACCACAAACCCGAUGAGAGCUUGGAAUAUAUCACCACUCCGACCAUCAAGGACGGAGCCGGCGACUCGAACUUCUUUCUCUACAGCAAGCUGAAAGUCAGCAAGGCCAGCUGGAACAGAGGGGACAUCUACACCUGCAUGGUCACCCACGAAGCCCUGCAGAUGAAGUUCACCCAACGCAGCAUCAGCAAAGUCUCUGAGGUGAUCGUGUCAGGUGAGUUUUGCAAUGAGGACGGAGACGAGGAGCUGGACGGCCUCUGGUCCACCAUCUCGGUCUUCAUCACCCUCUUCCUCCUGAGCGUGUGCUACAGCGCCACCAUGACCCUGUUCAAGGUGAAGUGGCUUUUCUCUGCCAUGGGGGAGCUGAAUCAGGCGAGUGGCCCUGAGUACAAGAACGAGAUCCAGAGUGUGGUGUAG
This is a non-coding RNA of Mauremys reevesii (Reeves's turtle), 1542 nucleotides long. The record is from the annotation of a RefSeq genome assembly. Lineage: Eukaryota; Metazoa; Chordata; Testudines; Geoemydidae.